UAAAAGACGAGUGAGAACUAACAAGGAGAA
Molecule: non-coding RNA, 30 nt
Filed under: Mus musculus (house mouse)
Lineage: Eukaryota; Metazoa; Chordata; Mammalia; Rodentia; Muridae
Source: RNAcentral